This 424-nucleotide ribosomal RNA is filed under the name uncultured bacterium. Its description in RNAcentral is "bacterial SSU rRNA". It matches the Rfam family "Bacterial small subunit ribosomal RNA", at positions 358 to 774 of the family's 1533-position model. The record is from RNAcentral.
GGAAUAUUGCACAAUGGGCGCAAGCCUGAUGCAGCCAUGCCGCGUGUGUGAAGAAGGCCUUCGGGUUGUAAAGCACUUUCAGCGAGGAGGAAGGCGUUAAGGUUAAUAACCUUAGCGAUUGACGUUACUCGCAGAAGAAGCACCGGCUAACUCCGUGCCAGCAGCCGCGGUAAUACGGAGGGUGCAAGCGUUAAUCGGAAUUACUGGGCGUAAAGCGCACGCAGGCGGUUUGUUAAGUCAGAUGUGAAAUCCCCGAGCUUAACUUGGGAACUGCAUUUGAAACUGGCAAGCUAGAGUCUUGUAGAGGGGGGUAGAAUUCCAGGUGUAGCGGUGAAAUGCGUAGAGAUCUGGAGGAAUACCGGUGGCGAAGGCGGCCCCCUGGACAAAGACUGACGCUCAGGUGCGAAAGCGUGGGGAGCAAACA